GGGGGGGGGGGGGGGGCAGAUGUGGGGUGGUUAUGGGGCAGCUAUGGGGCGGUUUGGGGUCCCAUAUGGCAGUUAUGGGGCACACAGCUCACUUAUGGGGCAGCUAUGGGGCGGUUAUGGGGACUAUAGGGCACUUAUGGGGCACUAUGGGACAGCAAUGGGGCAUCUGUGGGGCAGCCAUGGGGCUAUAUAGGGUAUCUACGGGGCUCUAUGGAACAAUAUAGGGCAUCUAUGGGGCGCCCAUGGGGCAGCUAUGGGGCUCUAUGGGAUAGCUGUGGGGCAGCUAUGGGGCUCUAUGAGGCGCUAUGGGGGAUCUAUGGCGCUCUAUGGGGCACUUUGGGGUAUUUAUGGGGCAGCUAUGGGGUAUCUAUG
Molecule: long non-coding RNA, 372 nt
Filed under: Gallus gallus (chicken)
Lineage: Eukaryota; Metazoa; Chordata; Aves; Galliformes; Phasianidae
Description: lncRNA (ENSGALG00010000662.1)
Source: RNAcentral